GGCAGGAGAGCAGGUAACGAAAUCCAACUGCAGCUGGGAUGCUCAGAGGAAGACAGCUGCUUUUGGGAUUCCGUUGCCCGCUGUCACGCCAUU
This 93-nucleotide microRNA precursor is filed under the name Chelydra serpentina (North American snapping turtle). RNAcentral's name for it is "mir-191b". It matches the Rfam family "mir-191 microRNA precursor family". The record is from RNAcentral. Lineage: Eukaryota; Metazoa; Chordata; Testudines; Chelydridae.